GGCUCAGCGACCGGGUCUUCCUUCACUGGACGCACUCGGGCCGCUUUGCCUUACCUUCUAGGCCCACGCUUUGCGGCGUGCGACUCUAGGACUUUUACUGUGAAUAAAUUAGAGUGUUCAAAGCAGGCAAUCGCUUGAAUACGUUAGCAUGGAAUAAUAGAAUAGGACUUUGGUUUUAUUUUGUUGGUUUUACUCUUGUUGAGACCAAGGUA
This 212-nucleotide ribosomal RNA is filed under the name uncultured fungus. Its description in RNAcentral is "partial small subunit ribosomal RNA". The stretch from base 85 to 212 matches the Rfam family "Eukaryotic small subunit ribosomal RNA", at positions 742 to 872 of the family's 1831-position model. The record is from RNAcentral. Lineage: Eukaryota; Fungi.